AUGGCAAACAGAGCAAAGGGCAGGAGCCCCUCUUGCAGCCGGCCGGUAUCUCAAUAUUUGCAGAGAAGGCCGAGAGCUGCAGGCACGCUUGCAGCAGCCGGCCGGACUUUCACCCCCUCCUCCUGCCGCCGCCCCAAGGGCAGCGAGGCGCCGCGCUCCUUCGGGCCCAGCAGGCGGCGGCACCGGGCAGGCAGCUCCGCCCGGCCGAAAGCCCCGGCCCCCUCCGGGCCGUCCUCGGGAGCAGGCCGAGCCCGGGCCGUGCGGUGGCUUUUCCGAGCCCGCCUCGUCGCGCGUCCCUCUAGGGGAGCCCGUCCGUGCCCCGCUGCCCCCGGCCCUGCCGCCGCGAGGUGGCAGCCGGCGGCCAGGAAAAGCCGCGGCGCCGCCGGGCCCCGGUGCGGCCUCGCGAAGCCAGAACCGGGGCUGGGGGGCGCGGGCGAGGCAGGGCCGCAGCGCGUGGCCGCGGGCAGGCUCCGUGCUCGCCGCUCCGCCCCGCCGCGGGCACGGCCGGCACCGCCCGCGUCCCGUCGCGCUGCGGGCCUGGGGCGCAGCCAGGCCCCGCGGGUACCGUGCGGCUGGGAAGGGUGGGGAGCAGCGCAACCGGCUGCGAAACCCAGCUCUGCACAUCACCAGCCCUGUGCCCAGAAAGGCUGGGGAUGCAGUGCAGCUCGCCAGCCCCGUGCUCUCCUCCAAAAACAUGCUCCCUGUCCCUGUCCCUGUCCCUGUCCCUGUCCCUGUCCCUGUCCCUGUCCCUGUCCCUGUCCCUGUCCCCAGGGCUGUGGCCAUGUUUGCACCAGGACUACUGAAUGGAGGGGGAUGGAGAAGCCCCACAUGCUGCUGAGUGUUGGGCUGCGGUGGCAGCCUCGGCAGGGCACAGCUCUCCAGGCCCAGGGGUGCACAGACCCGGCAUCAGGGGCCCCAUGCUGGCACCAGCAGGCUGCCCUGAGGCAGCCACGGCUCCAGCACUGGGGGCAGGAGGUGCCCACGGGGCCCUCCAGCAGGGCUCGGGGCCGCAGGGACCCUGCGGGAUCCAUGGGGUAUGGGCUGCUGCCAGCUGGCAAUGAAGGGCGGCCAGCAUGUUGGUUUCAGACCAGUUUGGACAGAAACCAAACGCAGGGAGAAACUGCCAUGAAAUUCCUGCGGAACAACCCCCCAACCUCACUGCUCUGA
RNAcentral lists this long non-coding RNA (1167 nucleotides) under Cairina moschata (Muscovy duck). RNAcentral describes it as "domestica (muscovy Duck (domestic type)) lncRNA (ENSCMMG00000010964.1)". Lineage: Eukaryota; Metazoa; Chordata; Aves; Anseriformes; Anatidae. The record is from RNAcentral.